This 492-nucleotide ribosomal RNA is filed under the name uncultured bacterium. RNAcentral's name for it is "partial 16S ribosomal RNA". It matches the Rfam family "Bacterial small subunit ribosomal RNA", at positions 30 to 507 of the family's 1533-position model. The record is from RNAcentral.
AGUGAACGCUGGCGGUAGGCCUAACACAUGCAAGUCGAACGGCAGCACAGUAAGAGCUUGCUCUUACGGGUGGCGAGUGGCGGACGGGUGAGGAAUACAUCGGAAUCUACUUUUUCGUGGGGGAUAACGUAGGGAAACUUACGCUAAAACCGCAUACGACCUACGGGUGAAAGCAGGGGAUCUUCGGACCUUGCGCGAUUGAAUGAGCCGAUGUCGGAUUAGAUAGUUGGCGGGGUAAAGGCCCACCAAGGCGGCGAUCCGUAGCUGGUCUGAGAGGAUGAUAGGCCACACGGGAACUGGAACACGGACAAGGGGACUACGAGAGGCAGCAGAGUGGAACGUGGGACAGUGGUGGGGAACAUUGCACAGUGGUCGGGAGUGGGAGAAGGAAGCGUUGGGGGUGUAAAGACGGUUUGUGGGGAGAGAAAAGCAGUCGGUUGAGACCAAGCGGGUGUGACGGUAACGAAUGAAGAAGCACCGGCUAACUUCGUG